RNAcentral lists this ribosomal RNA (491 nucleotides) under uncultured bacterium. RNAcentral's name for it is "partial 16S ribosomal RNA". It matches the Rfam family "Bacterial small subunit ribosomal RNA", at positions 29 to 507 of the family's 1533-position model. The record is from RNAcentral.
AGUGAACGCUGGCGGUAGGCCUAACACAUGCAAGUCGAACGGCAGCACAGUAAGAGCUUGCUCUUACGGGUGGCGAGUGGCGGACGGGUGAGGAAUACAUCGGAAUCUACUUUUUCGUGGGGGAUAACGUAGGGAAACUACGCUAAUACCGCAUACGACCUACGGGUGAAAGCAGGGGAUCUUCGGACCUUGCGCGAUUGAAUGAGCCGAUGUCGGAUUAGCUAGUUGGCGGGGUAAAGGCCCACCAAGGCGACGAUCCGUAGCUGGUCUGAGAGGAUGAUCAGCCACACUGGAACUGAGACACGGUCCAGACUCCUACGGGAGGCAGCAGUGGGGAAUAUUGGACAAUGGGCGCAAGCCUGAUCCAGCCAUACCGCGUGGGUGAAGAAGGCCUUCGGGUUGAAAAGCCCUUUUGUUGGGAAAGAAAAGCAGCAGGUUAAUACCCCGCUGUUCUGACGGUACCCAAAGAAUAAGCACCGGCUAACUUCGUG